UACGGAGGAUCCAAGCGUUAUCCGGAAUCAUUGGGUUUAAAGGGUCCGUAGGCGGUUUAGUAAGUCAGUGGUGAAAGCCCAUCGCUCAACGGUGGAACGGCCAUUGAUACUGCUAGACUUGAAUUAUUAGGAAGUAACUAGAAUAUGUAGUGUAGCGGUGAAAUGCUUAGAGAUUACAUGGAAUACCAAUUGCGAAGGCAGGUUACUACUAGUUGAUUGACGCUGAUGGACGAAAGCGUGGGUAGCGAACAGG
This 253-nucleotide ribosomal RNA is filed under the name uncultured bacterium. RNAcentral describes it as "partial 16S ribosomal RNA". It matches the Rfam family "Bacterial small subunit ribosomal RNA", at positions 524 to 776 of the family's 1533-position model. The record is from RNAcentral. RNAcentral also lists the same sequence under 1 other name.